UUUAAAAUCAUUGACAGGCCUGAGAGUUUUCCAUACGGCCUGCACCCUAACCUCUGGGAAGAAAAUAUCCACAAUGAAAUUUCUACAAGAUUAGAGGAAGGAGAGAGGCAACGGGGAUUCCAUUUCUACUAGGAGUAUCAACCUCUGAGAGAAAAAUAUCCAUCUCUGUGGAUGUCAUCUGCUCUGCAGAAAACCCUUUCCUGGAACUCCCAGUCCGUCACUUUAGUGUUGAACCUGCCACCUUCAGAUUCACACUGCAGCACCUCAGAUCAUUGACAGGCCUGAGAGUUUUCCAUACGGCCUGCACCCUAACCUCUGGGAAGAAAAUAUCCACAAUGAAAUUUCUACAAGAUUAGAGGAAGGAGAGAGGCAACGGGGAUUCCAUUUCUACUAGGAGUAUCAACCUCUGAGAGGGAUAUAUCCAUCUCUGUGGAUGUCAUCUGCUCUGCAGAAAACCCUUUCUUGGAACUACCAGGAAACAUGAAUCUGAUGUGGACCCUCCUCCUUUUCCUCCUUUUGGACGUAACUGUCUUCAUUCCAGCCCUGCCCUUCUCAACACGACAUUUAGACAACCCCAGGUCGUGGGUCCCUAGAGGACACCACCGAUACUGUGAUGUGAUGAUGAGGUGCCGUUGGCUGAUCUAUAGGGGUAAAUGCGAGCAGAUCCACACAUUCAUUCAUAGAAUCUGACCACCAUAGCAGAUUUCUGCAGAACUCCACCACUGCCCUGUACCAACAGCCCCUCCAUGUGCAGCUGCCACAACAGUACUCAUGAUGUCAAUGUCACUGACUGCUUUGCCAGCACAGGGACCCGACCUCUUCACUGCCACUACCAAAAAUAAGAAGGAGUCCACCAGGCCCAUGCGAGUGGGCUGCAAGAAGGGGGCAUCUGUUCACCUGGAUGGCUAGGUUCCUCCUGACAACGGCACCUGAAUGACUUGCACCCUACGCCUUCAAAUCUGUGCAGCACUGUCAAGGUCUUCUUUGUAAAUGCUUCGUCCUUUGCACGCAGGCUCCUGCGUCUUUCUUACAGCCUGUUCCCCACCAACCCCAUGUGCCCUACCCCUGCCACAGUGUCAGGGCUUUUGGUGGAGGAUAAGGCUGCAGUGGAGGGUUGGUGGGAGGGAGCCUGAAUUACGGAAAUAAUACUCGGGAAAAGACUUGCUCCAACCAAGCUGCUAGACAAUCCCCUUCUCCUGGGGCUGAUCUUCCCACCAGCUGCUCUCAUAAAACCUCCUGAUGGCUGGCCCUAGGUUUCCUGGAUCAUAGGGUCCUUCUGCCUUCUGCGGGACAUUCUAUGCCUUUCUCCUCAAUGGGCUCCUUCGGAGGGUAUUAGGGACGAUACCCUGGCGGGAAACCGCUUCCUUUAGGGAAACAAAUCACUGUGGCUCCAGGGGUGUCACCGGAAAAAGCCGUUUCCGGAGAAGCCGGAGGAGCUUGGGCAACUCCGCAGGCCCAGAGCCUUCGUGGUCUCCCAGUUCCCGUGGCCGUCGUAUUGGUCGGCAGGGGGCGCCGCGCCACAAGCUUCCUGCACAAGAGUCCAAAACUUCUUUCUUGGUUUCCUUUGAGACAGGCUGCAGGUUUCUUGGUUGCUGACACGGGUAGACGAUAAUAGGUGAAUAAACAAAAUCCAGCCAGCAUAAAUACAGUCUAACUGUUGAAGAACAGAUUUCUGAGUCUACCAUAACUUUCAUACACUGCAGCACUUUAACGUUGAACCUGCCACCUUCAGAUUCACACUGCAGCACCUCAGCCUACUAGAAACCGAGGUGAAGGAGUGUGAAUGACUUGGAGCAGUUCCUCACUGACAGAAGAGCACAAGGAAUUUUCUCUCUGCAACAUCUCUGCAGCAGGGGGCACCACUUCCCAAAUCAAGCUUUGCUGGCGUUUUUGAAAUCUGGAGGAAGGUGAAAAAUGACUAUUUUCAUAAAGUAGGUGAAGGAAAAUUCUGGAAGAGUACAUCCAUUUUUUUUAUGCUCACCUGGAGAAGAUUUG
RNAcentral lists this long non-coding RNA (1995 nucleotides) under Homo sapiens (human). Its description in RNAcentral is "HSALNT0375561". Lineage: Eukaryota; Metazoa; Chordata; Mammalia; Primates; Hominidae. The record is from RNAcentral.